UGAAGUAAAAGUCGUAACAAGGUCUCCGUUGGUGAACCAGCGGAGGGAUCAUUAAAGAGUUCUAUAACUCCCAAACCCAUGUGGACAUACCUUACGUUGCCUCGGCAGGUCGUGCCUACCCCGUAGCGCCCUAUCCUGUAGGACCUACCCGGUAGACGCGGGUAAGCCUGCCGGCGGCCCACGAAACUCUGUUUAGUAUUGAAUUCUGAACCUAUAACUAAAUAAGUUAAAACUUUCAACAACGGAUCUCUUGGUUCUG
RNAcentral lists this unclassified non-coding RNA (259 nucleotides) under plant metagenome. RNAcentral describes it as "partial contains small subunit ribosomal RNA, internal transcribed spacer 1, and 5.8S ribosomal RNA". The stretch from base 1 to 54 matches the Rfam family "Eukaryotic small subunit ribosomal RNA", at positions 1778 to 1831 of the family's 1831-position model. The record is from RNAcentral.